UGGGGACGGAACCCAGGGCCUUGCGCUUCCUAGGGCAAAUUUGAUAUGCACCCAGGUUAACCUUGGCUGAAAGUCAAAGUCCCAUCGUCAGGUGAUCGAGACUCCCACACAUGAGACGCUUAGGGCUAACUGAGAAAUUCUCAUCUGUGAAGAACUAAAGGCCAGAGCUCAGUGUCUCAGGGACAUCAUCCUGGGGAGAGCGACAUGGAGCCUGACUGAGGAGUCAGAUAUCAGAGAAUCCAGCAGGAAGCUGCUCUCCUGCCUUGGCCCCUUGGCCCUGAAAAUGUGUGCCUGCUUCAAGUCCAUCUCCUCUCAGCUGCUGAGUCGUUGUCUGUCUGCAGUGGAGAUGAAGCGACCACAGAUGCCCACAGAUGAGGGCCUCAGCAGCUUUUCAGUCCGACAGCAGCUUUUCAGUCCGACAGCCUCUGACCUCGCUUAUCCCUAGCCGCAGCUUCCAAACCAGCGCCAUUUCAAGGUAUUGGAGCUGCCAAAGUCAUUGGAGCUGAGGCUGCUACAGUUGGGGUGGCUGGCUCUGGGGCAAGGAUUGGGACUGUUUUGGGGAGUCUCCUAUUCGAUUCUGGGCUUUGCCCACUCAGAGGCCACGGGGCUCUCUCGCCUAAUGGUGGCCUUCUCAUCCUCCUCGUCAUGUGGAGCAGCUGUUUCCACUUUCACCUCCUAUAGUUCUUUCGUGUCUCGUCUGCCCCCCCUUAUGUUCCUUUUCCUGUGCCUCCCCAAGAAGUCUGGGGAAAGUGCUUGGCUCAGGGUUUGACAGAGAGAAGACAAAUAAAUA
Molecule: small RNA, 790 nt
Filed under: Rattus norvegicus (Norway rat)
Lineage: Eukaryota; Metazoa; Chordata; Mammalia; Rodentia; Muridae
Description: uncharacterized LOC102547387
Source: RNAcentral